CAUUGGCCGGCAAGUAGCGCAGUCUGAUCAGCAAUGCCGCGUGAGUGAUGAAGGCCUUCGGGUUGUAAAGCUCUUUUAACUACAAUUAAAAUCCCUGAACGUGGAUAAAUUGGACCGGCAGUCUGGUGCCAGCAGCCGCGGUAAUACUCUAUGCC
Molecule: ribosomal RNA, 155 nt
Filed under: uncultured bacterium
Lineage: Bacteria
Description: partial 16S ribosomal RNA
Source: RNAcentral